Ribosomal RNA from Schistosoma mansoni, 119 nucleotides. Lineage: Eukaryota; Metazoa; Platyhelminthes; Trematoda; Strigeidida; Schistosomatidae. The record is from Rfam.
ACCGGCGACUAUACCUCAUUGAAAGCACCUGUUCUCGUCCGAUCACCGAUGUUAAGCAACGUUGGGUCCGGCCAGUACUUGCAUGGGUGACCGGCUGAGAAUACCGGGUGUAGCCGGCU